GGUGCCACUGGGGACCAAAGCAUAAAAAAUGUUCAUUUAAAAUUAGUAGAUUAGCAUGGCCCCUGCACAAAGGUGACAUGCAAAUUCAUGAAGCAUUCCAUAUUUUG
This 107-nucleotide small nuclear RNA is filed under the name Acanthisitta chloris (rifleman). Lineage: Eukaryota; Metazoa; Chordata; Aves; Passeriformes; Acanthisittidae. The record is from RNAcentral.